GAUGAACGCUGGCGGCGUGCCUAAUACAUGCAAGUCGAGCGAACAGACGAGGAGCUUGCUCCUCUGACGUUAGCGGCGGACGGGUGAGUAACACGUGGAUAACCUACCUAUAAGACUGGGAUAACUUCGGGAAACCGGAGCUAAUACCGGAUAAUAUAUUGAACCGCAUGGUUCAAUAGUGAAAGACGGUUUUGCUGUCCCUUAUAGAUGGAUCCGCGCCGCCUUAGCUAGUUGGUAAGGUAACGGCUUACCAAGGCGACGAUGCGUAGCCGACCUGAGAGGGUGAUCGGCCACACUGGAACUGAGACACGGUCCAGACUCCUACGGGAGGCAGCAGUAGGGAAUCUUCCGCAAUGGGCGAAAGCCUGACGGAGCAACGCCGCGUGAGUGAUGAAGGUCUUCGGAUCGUAAAACUCUGUUAUUAGGGAAGAACAAAUGUGUAAUUAACUAUGCACGUCUUGACGGUACCUAAUCAGAAAGCCACGGCUAACUACGUG
RNAcentral lists this ribosomal RNA (497 nucleotides) under uncultured bacterium. RNAcentral describes it as "partial 16S ribosomal RNA". It matches the Rfam family "Bacterial small subunit ribosomal RNA", at positions 28 to 507 of the family's 1533-position model. The record is from RNAcentral.